RNAcentral lists this ribosomal RNA (1347 nucleotides) under uncultured bacterium. Its description in RNAcentral is "partial 16S ribosomal RNA". It matches the Rfam family "Bacterial small subunit ribosomal RNA", at positions 28 to 1381 of the family's 1533-position model. The record is from RNAcentral.
GACGAACGCUGGCGGCGUGCUUAACACAUGCAAGUCGAACGGAAAGGCCCUGCUUUUGUGGGGUGCUCGAGUGGCGAACGGGUGAGUAACACGUGAGUAACCUGCCCUUGACUUUGGGAUAACUUCAGGAAACUGGGGCUAAUACCGGAUAGGAGCUCCUGCUGCAUGGUGGGGGUUGGAAAGUUUCGGCGGUUGGGGAUGGACUCGCGGCUUAUCAGCUUGUUGGUGGGGUAGUGGCUUACCAAGGCUUUGACGGGUAGCCGGCCUGAGAGGGUGACCGGCCACAUUGGGACUGAGAUACGGCCCAGACUCCUACGGGAGGCAGCAGUGGGGAAUAUUGCACAAUGGGCGGAAGCCUGAUGCAGCAACGCCGCGUGCGGGAUGACGGCCUUCGGGUUGUAAACCGCUUUCGCCUGUGACGAAGCGUGAGUGACGGUAAUGGGUAAAGAAGCACCGGCUAACUACGUGCCAGCAGCCGCGGUGAUACGUAGGGUGCGAGCGUUGUCCGGAUUUAUUGGGCGUAAAGGGCUCGUAGGUGGUUGAUCGCGUCGGAAGUGUAAUCUUGGGGCUUAACCCUGAGCGUGCUUUCGAUACGGGUUGACUUGAGGAAGGUUAGGGGAGAAUGGAAUUCCUGGUGGAGCGGUGGAAUGCGCAGAUAUCAGGAGGAACACCAGUGGCGAAGGCGGUUCUCUGGGCCUUUCCUGACGCUGAGGAGCGAAAGCGUGGGGAGCGAACAGGCUUAGAUACCCUGGUAGUCCACGCUGUAAACGGUGGGUACUAGGUGUGGGGUCCAUUCCACGGGUUCCGUGCCGUAGCUAACGCUUUAAGUACCCCGCCUGGGGAGUACGGCCGCAAGGCUAAAACUCAAAGGAAUUGACGGGGCCCCGCACAAGCGGCGGAGCAUGCGGAUUAAUUCGAUGCAACGCGUAGAACCUUACCUGGGUUUGACAUGGAUCGGGAGUGCUCAGAGAUGGGUGUGCCUCCUUUGGGGUCGGUUCACAGGUGGUGCAUGGCUGUCGUCAGCUCGUGUCGUGAGAUGUUGGGUUAAGUCCCGCAACGAGCGCAACCCUUGUUCACUGUUGCCAGCACGUUAUGGUGGGGACUCAGUGGAGACCGCCGGGGUCAACUCGGAGGAAGGUGGGGAUGACGUCAAGUCAUCAUGCCCCUUAUGUCCAGGGCUUCACGCAUGCUACAAUGGCUGGUACAGAGAGUGGCGAGCCUGUGAGGGUGAGCGAAUCUCGGAAAGCCGGUCUCAGUUCGGAUUGGGGUCUGCAACUCGACCUCAUGAAGUCGGAGUCGCUAGUAAUCGCAGAUCAGCAACGCUGCGGUGAAUACGUUCCCGGGGCU